GGCCCCUUGGUCAAGCGGUUAAGACACCGCCCUUUCACGGCGGUAACAGGGGUUCAAGUCCCCUAGGGGUCACCA
This 75-nucleotide transfer RNA is filed under the name Acetobacterium bakii. RNAcentral describes it as "tRNA-Glu". It matches the Rfam family "tRNA". From Rfam's summary of the family: Transfer RNA (tRNA) molecules are approximately 80 nucleotides in length. Their secondary structure includes four short double-helical elements and three loops (D, anti-codon, and T loops). RNAcentral also lists the same sequence under 9 other names. Lineage: Bacteria; Bacillati; Bacillota; Clostridia; Eubacteriales; Eubacteriaceae. The record is from RNAcentral.